GACGAACGCUGGCGGCGUGCCUAAUACAUGCAAGUAGAACGCACAGUUUAUACCGUAGCUUGCUACACCAUAGACUGUGAGUUGCGAACGGGUGAGUAACGCGUAGGUAACCUGCCUGGUAGCGGGGGAUAACUAUUGGAAACGAUAGCUAAUACCGCAUAAUAUUAAUUAUUGCAUGAUAAUUAAUUGAAAGGUGCAAUUGCACCACUACCAGAUGGACCUGCGUUGUAUUAGCUAGUAGGUGAGGUAACGGCUCACCUAGGCGACGAUACAUAGCCGACCUGAGAGGGUGAUCGGCCACACUGGGACUGAGACACGGCCCAGACUCCUACGGGAGGCAGCAGUAGGGAAUCUUCGGCAAUGGACGAAAGUCUGAACGAGCAACGCCGCGUGAGUGAAGAAGGGUUUCGGAUCGUAAAGCUCUGUUGUAAGAGAAGAACGGGUGUGAGAGUGGAAAGUUCACACUGUGACGGUAUCUGACCAGAAAGGGACGGCUAACUACGUG
This 505-nucleotide ribosomal RNA is filed under the name uncultured bacterium. Its description in RNAcentral is "partial 16S ribosomal RNA". It matches the Rfam family "Bacterial small subunit ribosomal RNA", at positions 28 to 507 of the family's 1533-position model. The record is from RNAcentral.